Molecule: ribosomal RNA, 466 nt
Filed under: uncultured bacterium
Lineage: Bacteria
Description: partial 16S ribosomal RNA
Rfam family: Bacterial small subunit ribosomal RNA
Source: RNAcentral
GAUGAACGCUGGCGGCGUGCUUAUCACAUGCAAGUCGAACGGAAAGGCUCCUGCUUGCAGGGGUACUCGAGUGGCGAACGGGUGAGUAACACGUGGGUGAUCUGCCCUGCACUUCGGGAUAAGCCUGGGAAACUGGGUCUAAUACCGGAUAGGACGAUGGUUUGGAUGCCAUUGUGGAAAGUUUUUUCGGUGUGGGAUGAGCUCGCGGCCUAUCAGCUUGUUGGUGGGGUAAUGGCCUACCAAGGCGUCGACGGGUAGCCGGCCUGAGAGGGUGUACGGCCACAUUGGGACUGAGGUACGGACCAGACUCCUACGGGAGGCAGCAGGGGGAAAUAUUGCACAGUGAGCGCGAGCCUGAGGCGGCGGCGCCGCGUGGGGGAUGACGGCCUUCGGGUUGUGAACUCCUUUCGCUGGAGACGAAGCGCAAGUGACGGUACCUGGAGAAGAAGCACCGGCUAACUACGUG